RNAcentral lists this ribosomal RNA (468 nucleotides) under uncultured bacterium. Its description in RNAcentral is "partial 16S ribosomal RNA". It matches the Rfam family "Bacterial small subunit ribosomal RNA", at positions 28 to 507 of the family's 1533-position model. The record is from RNAcentral.
GACGAACGCUGGCGGCGUGCUUAACACAUGCAAGUCGAACGGAAAGGCCCUGCUUUUGUGGGGUGCUCGAGUGGCGAACGGGUGAGUAACACGUGAGUAACCUGCCCUUGACUUUGGGAUAACUUCAGGAAACUGGUGCUAAUACCGGAUAGGAGCUCCUGCUGCAUGGUGGUGGUUGGAAAGUUUCGGCGGUUGGGGAUGGACUCGCGGCUUAUCAGCUUGUUGGUGGGGUAGUGGCAUACCAAGGCUUUGACGGGUAGCCGGCCUGAGAGGGUGACCGGCCACAUUGGGACUGAGAUACGGCCCAGACUCCUACGGGAGGCAGCAGUGGGGAAUAUUGCACAAUGGGCGGAAGCCUGAUGCAGCAACGCCGCGUGCGGGAUGACGGCCUUCGGGUUGUAAACCGCUUUCGCCUGUGACGAAGCGUGAGUGACGGUAAUGGGUAAAGAAGCACCGGCUAACUACGUG